RNAcentral lists this transfer RNA (75 nucleotides) under Vibrio phage JSF10. RNAcentral's name for it is "tRNA-Met". It matches the Rfam family "tRNA". Rfam says of the family: Transfer RNA (tRNA) molecules are approximately 80 nucleotides in length. Lineage: Duplodnaviria; Heunggongvirae; Uroviricota; Caudoviricetes; Demerecviridae. The record is from RNAcentral.
AGAGACUUGGCUGAGCAGGGUUAUAGCGGCUCCUUCAUACGGAGCAGGAGGUGGGUUCGAUUCCCACAGUCUCUA